UUGCACUGGAUACUAACCAAGAUAUCAAUGCUCUGAUCAACUCUGAUUGGUGUAUGAUAUAUGGUAUCUUGGUCUAAGGAGUGCUAUAAUAAUAAACCGUAAGUGUUUGAGCUCAGUGUGCAGAGUGACUCUCUGGGUUAUGUCUUGCGGAACAAAA
Non-coding RNA from Bombina bombina (fire-bellied toad), 157 nucleotides. RefSeq annotates it as small Cajal body-specific RNA 1. The transcript has a single exon. The record is from RefSeq and is a predicted model, not a curated record. NCBI's taxonomy places the organism in Eukaryota, Metazoa, Chordata, Amphibia, Anura, Bombinatoridae.